GGGGUGGUGGCUCAGUGGUAGAGCGCUUGCCUGGCAUGCAUGAGGCACUGGGUUCGAUUCUCAGCACCUCA
Molecule: non-coding RNA, 71 nt
Organism: Ictidomys tridecemlineatus (thirteen-lined ground squirrel)
Lineage: Eukaryota; Metazoa; Chordata; Mammalia; Rodentia; Sciuridae
Source: Rfam